GGUCAAGUUACAAAGGG
This 17-nucleotide ribosomal RNA is filed under the name Synechococcus sp. LBP1. RNAcentral describes it as "partial 23S ribosomal RNA". The record is from RNAcentral. Lineage: Bacteria; Bacillati; Cyanobacteriota; Cyanophyceae; Synechococcales; Synechococcaceae. RNAcentral also lists the same sequence under 1 other name.